CCGAGAUACAGUGCAGCCUAGUUAUAAUGUAUGUUGUGUAGACAGAUAUUCCGCAACUCAGUCUAGGUGGGAAAUAUAUACCGAGAUACAGUGCACCCUGGUUAUAAUGUAUGUUGUGUAGACAGAUAUUCCGCAACUCAUUCUAGGUGGGAAAUAGAUACCGAGAUACAGUGCAGCCUAGUUAUAAUGUAUGUUGUGUAGACAGAUAUUCCGCAACUCAGUCUAGGUGGGAAAUAUAUACCGAGAUACAGUGCACCCUGGUUAUAAUGUAUGUUGUGUAGACAGAUAUUCCGCAACUCAUUCUAGGUGGGAAAUAUAUACCGAGAUACAGUGCACCCUGGUUAUAAUGUAUAUUGUGUAGACAGAUAUUCCGCAACUCAGUUUAGGUGGGAAAUAGAUACCGAGAUACAGUGCACCCUGGUUAUAAUGUAUAUUGUGUAGACAGAUAUUCCGCAACUCAUUCUAGGUGGGAAAUAUGUACCGAGAUACAGUGCACCCUGGUUAUAAUGUAUGUGAUGUAGACAGAGAUUCCGCAGCUCAGUCUAGGUGGGAAAUAGAUACCCAGAUACAGUGCACCCUUGUUAUAAUGUAUGUUGUGUAGACAGAUAUUCCGCAACUCAGUCUAGGUGGGAAAUAGAUACCGAGAUACAGUGCACCCUGGUUAUAAUGUAUGUUGUGCUAAGUGUAGACAAAUAUUCCGCAACUCAGUCUAGGUGGGAAAUAGAUGCCGAGAUACAGUGCACCCUGGUUA
This 751-nucleotide long non-coding RNA is filed under the name Haliotis rubra (blacklip abalone). RNAcentral's name for it is "uncharacterized LOC124276746, transcript variant X1". Lineage: Eukaryota; Metazoa; Mollusca; Gastropoda; Lepetellida; Haliotidae. The record is from RNAcentral.